This 442-nucleotide ribosomal RNA is filed under the name uncultured Rhodospirillales bacterium. Its description in RNAcentral is "bacterial SSU rRNA". It matches the Rfam family "Bacterial small subunit ribosomal RNA", at positions 335 to 795 of the family's 1533-position model. Lineage: Bacteria; Pseudomonadati; Pseudomonadota; Alphaproteobacteria; Rhodospirillales. The record is from RNAcentral.
UCCCUACGGGUGGCUGCAGUGGGGAAUAUUGGACAAUGGGCGCAAGCCUGAUCCAGCAAUGCCGCGUGGAUGAAGAAGGUCUUCGGAUUGUAAAGUCCUUUCGGCGGGGACGAUGAUGACGGUACCCGCAGAAGAAGCCCCGGCUAACUUCGUGCCAGCAGCCGCGGUAAUACGAAGGGGGCUAGCGUUGCUCGGAAUUACUGGGCGGAAAGGGCGCGUAGGCGGCGAUCUCAGUCAGGCGUGAAAGCCCCGGGCUCAACCUGGGAACUGCGCUUGAGACGGGAUUGCUUGAGGGCGAGAGAGGGUGGUGGAAUUCCCAGUGUAGAGGUGAAAUUCGUAGAUAUUGGGAAGAACACCGGUGGCGAAGGCGGCCACCUGGCUCGCACCUGACGCUGAGGCGCGAAAGCGUGGGGAGCAAACAGGAUUAGAUACCCCAGUAGUC